This 250-nucleotide ribosomal RNA is filed under the name uncultured bacterium. Its description in RNAcentral is "partial 16S ribosomal RNA". It matches the Rfam family "Bacterial small subunit ribosomal RNA", at positions 524 to 773 of the family's 1533-position model. The record is from RNAcentral.
UACGUAGGGUGCAAGCGUUAAUCGGAAUUACUGGGCGUAAAGCGUGCGCAAACGGCUAUGCAAGACAGAUGUGAAAUCCCCAGGCUCAACCUGGGAACUGCAUUUGUGACUGCAUGGCUAGAGUACGGUAGAGGGGGAUGGAAUUCCGCGUGUAGCAGUGAAAUGCGUAGAUAUGCGGAGGAACACCGAUGGCGAAGGCAAUCCCCUGGACCUGUACUGACGCUCAUGCACGAAAACGUGGAAAGCAAAC